GCCUACGGGAGGCAGCAGUAGGGAAUAUUGCGCAAUGGAGGAAACUCUGACGCAGCAACGCCGCGUGAAGGAAGAAGGUUUUCGGAUCGUAAACUUCUUUGACAGGGGACGAAGACAAUGACGGUACCCUGAAAACAAGCCACGGCUAACUACGUGCCAGCAGCCGCGGUAAUACGUAGGUGGCGAGCGUUGUCCGGAAUUACUGGGUGUAAAGGGCGUGCAGGCGGGGAUGUAAGUCAGAUGUGAAAUUCCACGGCUCAACUGUGGGGCUGCAUCUGAAACUAUGUCUCUUGAGUGCUGGAGAGGAAAGCGGAAUUCCAAGUGUAGCGGUGGAAUGCGUAGAUAUUUGGAGGAACACCAGUGGCGAAGGCGGCUUUCUGGACAGUAACUGACGCUGAGGCGCGAAAGCGUGGGGAGCAAACAGGAUUAGAUACCCCUGUAGUCCG
RNAcentral lists this ribosomal RNA (446 nucleotides) under uncultured bacterium. Its description in RNAcentral is "bacterial SSU rRNA". It matches the Rfam family "Bacterial small subunit ribosomal RNA", at positions 337 to 797 of the family's 1533-position model. The record is from RNAcentral.